GACGAACGCUGGCGGCGUGCUUAACACAUGCAAGUCGAACGGAAAGGCCCUGCUUUUGUGGGGUGCUCGAGUGGCGAACGGGUGAGUAACACGUGAGUAACCUGCCCUUGACUUUGGGAUAACUUCAGGAAACUGGGGCUAAUACCGGAUAGGAGCUCCUGCUGCAUGGUGGGGGUUGGAAAGUUUCGGCGGUUGGGGGUGGACUCGCGGCUUAUCAGCUUGUUGGUGGGGUAGUGGCUUACCAAGGCUUUGACGGGUAGCCGGCCUGAGAGGGUGACCGGCCACAUUGGGACUCAGAUACGGCCCAGACUCCUACGGGAGGCAGCAGUGGGGAAUAUUGCACAAUGGGCGGAAGCCUGAUGCAGCAACGCCGCGUGCGGGAUGACGGCCUUCGGGUUGUAAACCGCUUUCGCCUGUGACGAAGCGUGAGUGACGGUAAUGGGUAAAGAAGCACCGGCUAACUACGUG
This 468-nucleotide ribosomal RNA is filed under the name uncultured bacterium. RNAcentral describes it as "partial 16S ribosomal RNA". It matches the Rfam family "Bacterial small subunit ribosomal RNA", at positions 28 to 507 of the family's 1533-position model. The record is from RNAcentral.